Molecule: ribosomal RNA, 1242 nt
Filed under: metagenome
Description: bacterial LSU rRNA
Rfam family: Bacterial large subunit ribosomal RNA
Source: RNAcentral
UGAAUACGAGACGCUAAGGCGUCGAAGUAGUGUAUGUCAUACUUCCAAGAAAAGCUUGCACUGUCAUAGAUAAAAAACGCCUGUACCAUAACCGACACAGGUGGGUAGGUAGAGUAUACUAAGGGGCGCGAGAUAACUCUCUCUAAGGAACUCGGCAAAAUAACUCCGUAACUUCGGGAGAAGGAGUGCCUUAUUCGUAAGGUUGCAAUAACAAGAUCCAAGCAACUGUUUAUCAAAAACACAGGUCUCCGCUAAGUCGUAAGACGAUGUAUGGGGGCUGACGCCUGCCCAGUGCCAGAAGGUUAAAGAAGUUGGUUAGCAAUUGCGAAGCUGAUAACUGAAGCCCUGGUGAACGGCGGCCGUAACAAUAACGGUCCUAAGGUAGCGAAAUUCCUUGUCGGGUAAGUUCCGACCCGCACGAAAGGCGUAAUGAUUUGGAUACUGUCUCGGAGAGGGGCUCGGUGAAAUAGACUUGUCUGUGAAGAUGCGGACUACCUGCACCAGGACAGAAAGACCCUAUGAAGCUUUACUGUAACUUGAAAUUGAAAUUGGACUUUAUUCGCGCAGUAUAGGUGGGAGGCGUUGAUUAUAAUCUUGUGGGAUUAUUGGAGCCAUCAGUGAGAUACCACUCUUGUAAUGUUAGAUUUCUAACUUUGAAUCAUUAUCUGGUCAAAGAACAGUUUCAGGCGGGCAGUUUGACUGGGGCGGUCGCCUCCUAAACGGUAACGGAGGCGUACAAAGGUUUCCUCUGAACGGUUAGAAAUCGUAUCUAGGGUGUAAAGGCAUAAGGAAGCUUGACUGUGAGACCUACAAGUCGAGCAGGGACGAAAGUCGGUCUUAGUGAUCUGACGGUACUGAGUGGAAAGGCCGUCACUCAACGGAUAAAAGUUACUCUAAGGAUAACAGGCUGAUCUCCCCCAAGAGUUCACAUCGACGGGGAGGUUUGGCACCUCGAUGUCGGCUCAUCGCAUCCUGGGGCGGUAGUACGUCCCAAGGGUUGGGCUGUUCGCCCAUGAAAGCGGUACGCGAGCUGGGUUCAGAACGUCGUGAGACAGUUCGGUCCAUAUCCGGUGUAGGCGUUAGAAUAUUGAGAGGAGCCUUCUUUAGUACGAGAGGACCGAGAAGGACAUACCUCUGGUGUACCAGUUAUCGUGCCAACGGUAAACGCUGGGUAGCUAUGUAUGGAGUGGAUAACCGCUGAAAGCAUCUAAGUGGGAAGCCCACCUCAAGAUAAGUAUUCUC